GAAUUCAUCAGUUUUCGGGAAUAAAAAUUGACGAGCACACUUCCUAUACAACAUCUGUAUUGUCCUUAUUAUUCAUGUAUUUUUACUAGGUUGCUCUAGAUUCGAAUCUUUGUCCUUCAGUGUUGAAGAACUAGUUCAGCAAACUCUAUCUUGCUUCCCUUUACCGGCUUCAAUUAGUGUGAUAACUAGAAAAAGCACGUGGUUAAUAAGAAAAGUCAGUACUACAGCGUCUGAAUGUUGUGAGGCCAUUUCUGGUAGCUGCGUUAUGAAAUUUGAAGAAUUAAAAAUGCUCAAAAAAGGAUCAGGGCGGUAAUUUUCAGAAUUAUUUAUUGUUACUUUAAGUUGGUUAGGAAAAAUUA
Long non-coding RNA from Zophobas morio, 359 nucleotides. RefSeq lists it as uncharacterized. Lineage: Eukaryota; Metazoa; Arthropoda; Insecta; Coleoptera; Tenebrionidae. The record is from RefSeq and is a predicted model, not a curated record. The transcript has 3 exons.